Molecule: long non-coding RNA, 341 nt
Filed under: Sus scrofa (pig)
Lineage: Eukaryota; Metazoa; Chordata; Mammalia; Artiodactyla; Suidae
Description: lncRNA (ENSSSCG00055004507.1)
Source: RNAcentral
UAGCUUUGCAUCCUCCCUUGGGCCUAAAACCACCAGUUACCUCUCCCACCGUCAUCUCAGAUGUCUGGUCGGAAAGAAACCAGGCAUCUUUAAGGUUUGAGGCGCUGAGAGAAUGGGUGUAAAGUCCAGAGAAGGCAUUGGUGAAGGAACGCAGCGUCAGGUGGGGAGCGCGAGGGCAAGACGAGCCAGGAGCCCACAGUGGAUCCAGCAAAAGCAGCUGAUCGCUUUCAAAAUGCGGUCUCUUGAAAUGUGAAGAUAUGUGACGGGAGCCUCGGGAGAGAAGACAGCAGCCGGCAGGUGAGAUCGCAAAGCCGCCUCAGGUGGGCCCGUGGACUGGAUGU